RNAcentral lists this ribosomal RNA (664 nucleotides) under uncultured bacterium. RNAcentral's name for it is "bacterial SSU rRNA". It matches the Rfam family "Bacterial small subunit ribosomal RNA", at positions 24 to 678 of the family's 1533-position model. The record is from RNAcentral.
UCAGAUUGAACGCUGGCGGCAGGCCUAACACAUGCAAGUCGAGCGGAAACGAUGGAUGCUUGCACUCCAGGCGUCGAGCGGCGGACGGGUGAGUAAUACUUGGGAAUCUGCCUGAGGGCGGGGGACAACCACUGGAAACGGUGGCUAAUACCGCAUAAUGUCUACGGACCAAAGCGUGGGACCUACGGGCCACACGCCUUCAGAUGAGCCCAAGCGAGAUUAGGUAGUUGGUGGGGUAAAGGCCUACCAAGCCGACGAUCUCUAGCUGGUUUGAGAGGAUGAUCAGCCACACUGGGACUGAGACACGGCCCAGACUCCUACGGGAGGCAGCAGUGGGGAAUAUUGGACAAUGGGGGCAACCCUGAUCCAGCCAUGCCGCGUGUGUGAAGAAGGCCUUCGGGUUGUAAAGCACUUUCAGUGGUGAGGAAGGUGGUGUCGUUAAUAGCGGCAUCAAUUGACGUUAGCCACAGAAGAAGCACCGGCUAACUCCGUGCCAGCAGCCGCGGUAAUACGGAGGGUGCGAGCGUUAAUCGGAAUUACUGGGCGUAAAGCGCACGUUGGCGGUAUGUUAAGCAAGAUGUGAAAGCCCAGAGCUCAACUCUGGAAUAGCAUUUUGAACUGGCAUGCUAGAGUUUUGGAGAGGGUGGUAGAAUUUCCAGUGUAG